RNAcentral lists this long non-coding RNA (518 nucleotides) under Lonchura striata (white-rumped munia). RNAcentral's name for it is "domestica (Bengalese finch) lncRNA (ENSLSDG00000002999.1)". The record is from RNAcentral. Lineage: Eukaryota; Metazoa; Chordata; Aves; Passeriformes; Estrildidae.
GGCUCCUGGUGGCCGGGAUCUACGUCAGCGGCCGCCCCACGUGCGGCGCCACACUCUUCUUCAUCCAGCGGAGGCCGCCCCGCUGGCCCGCCAUGAAAUUCCGGAGCCGCGGCCGCCGCAGCUCCUACGCCGAGGUGGAGGCGGCCAGCCAGGAGAAAGAGGGAAUUGUGGAGGCCGAGCAGUGCUGAGCGCUUCUCCCGAGGAAUCCCUCCCGAGGGAUCCAUCCCGAGGAAUCCUGAUAAUCCUUCCCAAGGAAUCCAUCCUGAGGAAUCCAUCCCGAGGAAUCCUGAUAAUCCAUCCUGAGGAAUCCAUCCUGAGGAAUCCGUCCUGAGGAAUCCUGAUAAUCCAUCCUGAGGAAUCCAUCCUGAGGAAUCCAUCCCAUGGAAUCCAUCCUGAGGAAUCCAUCCCGAGGAAUCCAUCCUGAGGAAUCCUGACAAUCCAUCCCGAGGAAUCCAUCCCAUGGAAUCCAUCCCAUGGAAUCCAUCCUGAGGAAUCCAUCCCAUGGAAUCCAUCCCGAG